GCUCACAUUACCCACAACAACGACUGCGAAGCUGGAGCUGCACCAUCCGCCCAGCAGGGCCAGGGCGGAGGGGGCAGUAACAAUGUAGCUACAGACUUAACUCUGUACGAGUUCAAGGAGCAGCUCCUGCUGCUGUCCACUCUAGUCACAACGGUGACCUACGUCGCCGGGCUGAACCUGCCGGGGGGGUCCUGGGAGCAGGAUGACCCCGGGGGCCACAUCGCCGGUGAUCCGAUCCUACGGGAUCUCCACUACCACCGGUACCUCGCCUUCUACUACUCCAACGCCACCGCAUUCGCCGCGUCCCUUGUGAUCUCCCUCAUCCUCGUCAUCCUGCCAAAGAAGAACCAUGUUUGGACAUCGGUGCUGCGGGUGGUGAUGAUGGUCGAUCUACUUGGCCUCAUGGGCUCCUAUGGUGCCGGGAGCUGCCGGGAUGCGUUCACCACCAUCUUCGCAGUGGUAGCCUUCUCUGUUUUGGUAUUGUGCAUCAUUGGUGUUUUCUUCUCCUACCUCUGGCUGAAUGGUGACAAAGAGGCCCACUCCAACCCCAUCUCCAAUGCCAACUCGAACUCCGAGUCCAUCUCCAUCUCAGAUGCCAACUCGAACUCCGAGUGCAUCACCAUCUCCCAUUACAACUCCAAUUCUAUCUCCGCCCCUGACGCCACCUCCAGUUCCAACUUGAACCCUAUCUCCAACCCCAAAUACAGUUUUAUUUUCCGUGCCAGCAAGCAAGUCCCGACACAAAAUAACGUGUUGAAUUUACUUGUUAACUCCAAGAAGCAAAAGAAGUAUCAGAUCGAUGUUUUAAUGUUACUGGCAACAUUAGCAAUCACCAUCACAUACGUUGCCGGGCUUAGCCCACCUGGUGGAUUCUGGAGCAGCACCCAGGACGGCCAUCAUUUGAGCGACCCCGUGUUACAAGCCCGACGUCGGUUCCGUGCCUUCUACGUUUGCAACACCACCUCGUUUGUCGUGUCCCUACUCAUCGUCGUGUUUCUCCUGGAGAAGAUGAUGCUCGGAGAGAAGGAGCUGUUCGGGAGAUUGACAUGGUGGUUCGUGAAAAAGAAGCUCAUGCCAAUGCGGCUUGCGGUGCCCUACUGGUUGAUUGCCAUUGCUUUGUUGGCACUCAUGGGGGCCUAUGCUGCUGGGAGUUGCAGAGGUGCUGGCAGUACUGUCUUGGUGCUUGCUAUUCCUGUCUGCGUCUUCCUCCUGCUGGCGCUUGUUUUCCUUCAGGAACAGAAUCUUAUUCUUUCCAUAGUAAGGCGGUGGUUCAAAGCGCGGUUCGGCACCCCUCGAGGUACCAACACAUAUCACCAAAUCACUCGCAAUCUUGGUACGCUCCUUGCUGUUUUUGUGGUGACCAUCACUUACCAAGCUGGACUAGAUCCACCGGGGGGCCUCUGGCAAGAGGAUGGGGAUGGGCAUAAAAUUGGCCAUCCAGUGCUGCAAACCACACAUCCUACUCGGUACAUAGUGUUCUUCUAUGGCAACUCCACAGCUUUUGUAACAACCAUGCUCAUCAUCUUGAUGUUCCACAGCAAGUAUUUGCUCACGCGGCCCAUAGUGGAAGCAACCAUGGGACUAGACCUACUGUGCCUCAUAACGGCUUAUGGCGCUGGUAGCACUAGGGAUGUAAACACAUCCAUCUACAUCAUCGCCUUGGAAGGUCUUCUUCUAGUCUACGUCAUCGUCCAUAUGUCCGUUAAAGACUCUGGUCCAGAGCCGGAAGGUUAUGCUGCAGUAAAGGAUCUAGAAGACAAGCGCAAGAUGUUGCUGUUGAUUGCUAUAUUGGUCACAACCCUCACAUACCAAGCUGGUCUCACUCCGCCAGGUGGCUUUUGGUUAGCAGAUGACCAAGCACUCGGUCGCCAUGUGGGUUUCCCAGUUCUCCUCGACAAUUACCCUCGCCGUUACAACAUAUUCUUUUAUAGCAACACAGCAAGCUUCAUGUCGUCAAUAACCCUCCUCCUUUUUCUCAUCAGUCCCAAACUUUAUAGGCUAGGUAUAGAUUGUUAUGUGCUCUAUGUGUGCAUGCUGGUGGGCAUGUUUGGCCUCAUGGGCGCUUAUGCUGCUGGAAGCUCCAGGCAUCUGAAAACCUCCAUUUUUGUGUUAACCUUGGUUGUGCCGGUGUUGGCAAUCAUAACCUUGCUGAUAGCCCUUUUUUGGUUCUUCUCGAAACAAAGUCAUGGCAGCAGCGACAACAUCACCUCCAUCAGAAACAACGACAACAGUAAUACAACAACCACAGCCACAAUCACAACCACCAUCACCGCCACCACCACCACCACCACCACCAUAGCUACCAACAACAACGACGACGACGACGAC
This 2328-nucleotide ribosomal RNA is filed under the name Triticum aestivum (bread wheat). RNAcentral describes it as "partial small subunit ribosomal RNA". The record is from RNAcentral. Lineage: Eukaryota; Viridiplantae; Streptophyta; Magnoliopsida; Poales; Poaceae.